This 459-nucleotide long non-coding RNA is filed under the name Macaca fascicularis (crab-eating macaque). Its description in RNAcentral is "lncRNA (ENSMFAG00000047068.2)". Lineage: Eukaryota; Metazoa; Chordata; Mammalia; Primates; Cercopithecidae. The record is from RNAcentral.
UCGUUGGUAAAGCUCCUAUUUGCUUUCUCUGAAUCUGUAUCAGUUCAUGCAGUUCUGCCAAGUGGGGAAGCUUUGCAGGACACUGCCACUGUAGCACUUGAAAUAUUAAGAUGAACAGAACAAGCAAAAGGUGGGAAAACUGGAAAGAUUGAAUGUCCUUUGGAGUUCACAGAGGUUUGGCAGUGGGAGGAGAAAAACAAAACGAAGCAUAGUGGGAGUGUUGAACAGACUUUCCCAAGAUCCCCAGGGAAAUCAACAAAGAGUAUUGCUUCCUUGCAAAUUGGCAGGAAGGUUUCCAGCAUAAUAAAAGAGUGCAGAAAAAACAAGUUAAUUCAAGGAUAAAACUGUGAAUAAGUAGAAGAGAAGACUACACCAGGAAAAGAGACGGAGGUAGAGGCCCAAUGGAGUAAGUAAUUUUAGAAGAAAUUUAAUAUUGGAAGAAUAGAUGUUUUCCAGAAC